GGAGGGCUCGUCAAAUUUCCAAAACCCACGAAACCUUCAUCCAUCAGGUGGCAAUCUAUUCACGGGAUCUGGAUGGUUAUCGAGCAGCGAUCAUCGAACGAAGAUCUAUCGUGGGUAGAUGGUAUCGUCGGAGAAGACAAAUCGCGGUUACCGUGAAGCAUAACGCUGGCAAAGUGGCAGGCGAGCAGGAGUCGCAGGAUUUUUCGUUCAGCAGAAGGUCGAUCGGACGCGGAAGGCGCGUGCUGGCCAGACGCGGAAGCUUGCACACAGCGUACGCGUACCAACGGGAAAACUGGAGGAAAAGAACCGACGAAGAGGUGGGCACCGAUCGAGAUUCUCA
This 340-nucleotide unclassified non-coding RNA is filed under the name Bombus terrestris (buff-tailed bumblebee). Its description in RNAcentral is "misc RNA ENSBTSG00005032655.1". The record is from RNAcentral. Lineage: Eukaryota; Metazoa; Arthropoda; Insecta; Hymenoptera; Apidae.